Molecule: small RNA, 131 nt
Filed under: Salmonella enterica
Lineage: Bacteria; Pseudomonadati; Pseudomonadota; Gammaproteobacteria; Enterobacterales; Enterobacteriaceae
Also listed under: 2 other names
Description: RtT sRNA
Rfam family: RtT RNA
About the family: This family represents a bacterial cis-regulatory element known as RtT RNA.
Source: RNAcentral
AUAUCUCUCUGUACGGGAAGGAUGAGAAGCUUCUACCAGGGUUCGAUUCGAGCGCAGCGAGAAAGCGUUGCCGCAGGCAACGACCCGAAGGGCGAAGCGCGCAGCGCUGAGUCAUCCUUCCCCCACCAUCA